UACAGGGGGGGCAAGCGUUGUUCGGAAUUACUGGGCGUAAAGGGCCAGUAGGCGGCCAACUAAGUCCGACGUGAAAUCCCUAAGCUUAACUUGGGAACUGCGUCGGAUACUGGAUGGCUUGAAUUCGGGAGAGGGAUGCAGAAUUCCAGGUGUAGCGGUGAAAUGCGUAGAUAUCUGGAGGAAUACCGGUGGCGAAGGCGGCAUCCUGGACCGACAUUGACGCUGAACGGCGAAAGCUAGGGGAGCAAACGGG
Molecule: ribosomal RNA, 253 nt
Filed under: uncultured bacterium
Lineage: Bacteria
Description: partial 16S ribosomal RNA
Rfam family: Bacterial small subunit ribosomal RNA
Source: RNAcentral